This 1254-nucleotide long non-coding RNA is filed under the name Mus spicilegus (steppe mouse). RNAcentral's name for it is "lncRNA (ENSMSIG00000025990.1)". Lineage: Eukaryota; Metazoa; Chordata; Mammalia; Rodentia; Muridae. The record is from RNAcentral.
CCUCUGUGUAUCGAUACAAGAAUGACUGCUUAUCAUAUUUUGGGGUAUGCAUUCCUUUGAUUCCAACCAGUGUAAAAUGUUCCACCCCAUAUUCUCACACCAAGACCUGUCUCCUUGAGAACAGAAGAGCCUUUUACCCCAAACUCACGGCCACUGUCUCCCUUAAUGAGGGUGUGCUCAGCACCAUGUGUGAGCAGGGGCAGAGCCCCCUUUCCAGACACAGCCUUUGCCCCAGAAGCCAUGCCUUCUGGCUCAGUAGCAGGAACACAGGCUCUAACCUGCUUGCCUAAAGAGAGUCAUGCUGAGUCUCUACAUGGAAGUGUCUGCCUACAAAGGCAACAAGCUUCUCCAUCCACUUGAGGCUUACCAUCUCCGCAGGCCAGCCAGAGAGAAGUACAGCCCAUGAGAGAGAGACACCUCCAAGUCCUUCCCACCCCACCCCCACCACAGCCACUCAGCCCCAUCCUUCCAGCCACGUUGCCUUGGAAACCAGAACAAUUCCCCAAACAUCCCAAGAUUCCCACGCACUCAGGAACUCUCCUGGAGAUGGGUGGGGGACAACAGCAAUUGUUUUCACAGAUGAAGGGACCAGGAGAGAGCAGGUUGGAGCCCGUGGGUUACUUACAGCUGGCCCUCCAGCUACUCCACACAAACCCAGGGAGCGGAAACCUGAGUGUGAGCUCAAAACAGAUGACCGUAGCUUGUGUCAAGUUGACAAAAAGCUGACAAGCGUCGUGUGCAUCGCUGCUGCAGCCUGGGAAUCCUAGCCCUGGCUAGCCUGUCAACCUUUUAGAAAAAUGGGUGUCUCCGUUGGAUGCUGAACUACCAGGCAUGUGUCCUAUACCUUCUGGCCAGAGGCCCAGCCUCUAUAAUCCAGUAUAGGUCAGAGCAUAACCCUGAAAAGUGUACCCAGCAGGAACAUCAGCUGUGGACACAGUUGGCAGGCCUCCUUCCCAGAGGCUCCUUUCACCAGCCUAGAGCAGCAGAGACCUGAGUUCUGAUGGAUGGGGAGCUGGGAUGUGUAUUUUGUCCUGCUGACUAUACCUCUGAAUUUUAUUUGGGUGGAAAGCUGGCCUGAGAUACAAAGAGGAGGAGGUAGAAUAACUCUGUUUUCAGGCUGGAGUGAGGUUUACAGGCAUGCUGGCUGCUAGCCAACUCAUUAUCUUAUACCUAUGUCAGAGAGCAAGCAGGAUUCAGGGGAGCCAAGUGUCUAUCCCUGGUCCAGAUGGUUUGGUCAGCGUAGAGAAACAGAAG